AGCCAUUUUUAAAUUCAUAUCCCCAUGUACAGUUUUAAACUAGAGUCCCUGGAACGGUUACUAUUUUUUAAAAGAAAAUUUGAAUUAAAAAAGAAAUGGUUAAAUAAGCUCCUGAAUCUCUUCCCAUACAAUGGAUAAUCUAUAAAAUGAGAGGAAUCUGCACAAGAAAAAAAACCUGCAUAUAAUAUAAAAGGGAACAAAAGAAGCAGGGAAUGAGAGAUUAGGAC
RNAcentral lists this long non-coding RNA (227 nucleotides) under Mytilus galloprovincialis (Mediterranean mussel). Lineage: Eukaryota; Metazoa; Mollusca; Bivalvia; Mytilida; Mytilidae. The record is from RNAcentral.